GAUGAACGCUGGCGGCGUGCCUAAUACAUGCAAGUCGAACGAAACUUCUUUAUCACCGAGUGCUUGCACUCACCGAUAAAGAGUUGAGUGGCGAACGGGUGAGUAACACGUGGGCAGCCUGCCCAAAAGAGGGGGAUAACACUUGGAAACAGGUGCUAAUACCGCAUAACCAUAGUUACCGCAUGGUAACUAUGUAAAAGGUGGCUAUACUACCGCUUUUGGAUGGGCCCGCGGCGCAUUAGCUAGUUGGUAGGGUAAAGGCUUACCAAGGCAAUGAUGCGUAGCCGAAUUGAGAGGUUGAUCGGCCACAUUGGGACUGAGACACGGCCCAAACUCCUACGGGAGGCAGCAGUAGGGAAUCUUCCACAAUGGGCGAAAGCCUGAUGGAGCAACGCCGCGUGGGUGAAGAAGGUCUUCAGAUCGUAAAACCCUGUUGUUAGAGAAGAAAGUGCGUGAGAGUAACUGUUCACGUUUCGACGGUAUCUAACCAGAAAGCCACGGCUAACUACGUG
RNAcentral lists this ribosomal RNA (512 nucleotides) under uncultured bacterium. RNAcentral describes it as "partial 16S ribosomal RNA". It matches the Rfam family "Bacterial small subunit ribosomal RNA", at positions 28 to 507 of the family's 1533-position model. The record is from RNAcentral.